Molecule: ribosomal RNA, 253 nt
Filed under: uncultured bacterium
Lineage: Bacteria
Description: partial 16S ribosomal RNA
Rfam family: Bacterial small subunit ribosomal RNA
Source: RNAcentral
UACAGAGGAUGCAAGCGUUAUCCGGAAUGAUUGGGCGUAAAGCGUCUGUAGGUGGCUUUUUAAGUCCGCCGUCAAAUCCCAGGGCUCAACUCUGGACAGGCGGUGGAAACUACCAAGCUGGAGUACGGCAGGGGCAGAGGGAAUUUCCGGUGGAGCGGUGAAAUGCGUAGAUAUCGUGAGGAAGACCAGUGGCGAAGGCGGCUCUCUGGGACGGUACUGACGCUGAGACGCGAAAGCGUGGGGAGCGAACAGG